This 453-nucleotide unclassified non-coding RNA is filed under the name Bartonella sp. Its description in RNAcentral is "partial 16S-23S ribosomal RNA intergenic spacer". The stretch from base 99 to 172 matches the Rfam family "tRNA". Lineage: Bacteria; Pseudomonadati; Pseudomonadota; Alphaproteobacteria; Hyphomicrobiales; Bartonellaceae. The record is from RNAcentral.
CCUCAUAUAAUAUAGAUUUUAAAGAAAAAGAGGCUUUAAGGAAGAAGUUUUCCGCUUGAUAAGAUAAGUCCGGGGAAGGUUUUCCGGUUUAUCUCGGAGGGCUUGUAGCUCAGUUGGUUAGAGCGCGCGCUUGAUAAGCGUGAGGUCGGAGGUUCAAGUCCUCCCAGGCCCACCAAUUUAUGUAUCAAAUUAUAAGCGCUUGUAAAACUUUCCUCUAUCUUUCCGCUAUGAAGCUUGCUUAUAAACCUGUAAGGAGCUUGCUUAUGAAGAAGCUUUCUUAAUAAAAAUAUGGCGCUUUUCUAUUUCGCUUAAGUAAUCCAAAGUUAAAGCGGUUCAAACGCAAAGUGAUCCCGACUUAAAGGCGAUCAAAAAUUUGAAAGUUUCGAAUCCUUUCUCCUGUUUUCGGGGCCGUAGCUCAGCUGGGAGAGCACCUGCUUUGCAAGCAGGGGGCGU